CCUACGGGUGGCAGCAGUGAGGAAUAUUGGUCAAUGGACGAGAGUCUGAACCAGCCAAGUAGCGUGAAGGAUGACUGCCCUAUGGGUUGUAGACUUCUUUUAUAUGGGAAUAAAAUGUUCCACGUGUGGGAUUUUGUAUGUACCAUAUGAAUAAGGAACGGCUAACUCCGUGCCAGCAGCCGCGGUAAUACGGAGGAUCCGAGCGUGAUCCGGAUUUAUUGGGUUUAACGGGAGCGUAGGUGGAUUGUUAAGUCAGUUGUGAAAGUUUGCGGCUCAACCGUACAAUUGCAGUUGAAACUGGCAGUCUAGAGUACAGUAGAGGUGGGCGGAAUUCGUGGUGUAGCGGUGAAAUGCGUAGAGAUCACGAAGAACUCCGAUGGCGAAGGCAGUUCACCGGACUGCAACUGACACUGAGGCUCGAAAGUGUGGGGAGCAAACAGGAUUAGAUACCCCUGUAGUC
Molecule: ribosomal RNA, 460 nt
Filed under: uncultured bacterium
Lineage: Bacteria
Description: partial 16S ribosomal RNA
Rfam family: Bacterial small subunit ribosomal RNA
Source: RNAcentral